UACGAAGGGUGCUAGCGUUGUUCGGAAUCAUUGGGCGUAAAGCGUGCGUAGGCGGCUUGGUAAGUCGAUUGUGAAAGCCCGGGGCUUAACCCUGGAAUUGCAAUCGAAACUGCCUUGCUGGAGUGUGGUAGAGGACAGCGGAAUUCCUAGUGUAGGGGUGAAAUCCGUAGAUACUAGGAGGAAUACCAGAAGCGAAGGCGGCUGUCUGGGCCACUACUGACGCUGAGGCACGAAAGCGUGGGGAGCAAACAGG
This 253-nucleotide ribosomal RNA is filed under the name uncultured bacterium. Its description in RNAcentral is "partial 16S ribosomal RNA". It matches the Rfam family "Bacterial small subunit ribosomal RNA", at positions 524 to 776 of the family's 1533-position model. The record is from RNAcentral.